AGAGUUUGAUCCUGGCUCAGAAUGAACGCUGGCGGCGUGCUUAACACAUGCAAGUCGCACGAGAAAGGUUCCUUCGGGGGCUGAGUAAAGUGGCGAACGGGUGAGUAACGCGUGGGUAACCUACCCUCGAGUGUGGAAUAACUCGGCGAAAGGUGAGUUAAUACCGCAUAACAUCAUCGGGGCUUCGGCUCUGGUGACCAAAGGUGGCGCAGUUCGACUGCUACCGCUUGAGGAGGGGCCCGCGUCCCAUUAGCUUGUUGGUGGGGUAAUGGCCUACCAAGGCUUCGAUGGGUAGCCGGCCUGAGAGGGUGUCCGGCCACACUGGAACUGAGACACGGUCCAGACUCCUACGGGAGGCAGCAGUGGGGAAUAUUGGGCAAUGGGCGCAAGCCUGACCCAGCGACGCCGCGUGGGUGAUGAAGGCCCUUGGGUCGUAAAACCCUGUCAUGUGGGACGAAUGGCCCGAGUCCUAAUAGGGCUCGGGUUUGACGGUACCACAGGAGGAAGCCCCGGCUAACUCCGUGCCAGCAGCCGCGGUAACACGGAGGGGGCAAGCGUUAUUCGGAAUUAUUGGGCGUAAAGGGCAGGUAGGCGGCUCCGUAUGUCCUCUGUGAAAGCCCUCGGCUCAACCGAGGAAUUGCAGGGGAAACUGCAGAGCUUGAGUCCGGGAGAGGGUAGUGGAAUUCCCAGUGUAGCGGUGAAAUGCGUAGAUAUUGGGAGGAACACCAGUGGCGAAGGCGGCUGCCUGGACCGGUACUGACGCUAAACUGCGAAAGCCAGGGGAGCAAACGGGAUUAGAUACCCCGGUAGUCCUGGCUGUAAACGAUGAGCACUUGGUGUGG
RNAcentral lists this ribosomal RNA (842 nucleotides) under uncultured deep-sea bacterium. Its description in RNAcentral is "bacterial SSU rRNA". It matches the Rfam family "Bacterial small subunit ribosomal RNA", at positions 8 to 825 of the family's 1533-position model. The record is from RNAcentral.